Dioscorea cayenensis subsp. rotundata (Guinea yam) is the source of this 107-nucleotide small nucleolar RNA. NCBI's taxonomy places the organism in Eukaryota, Viridiplantae, Streptophyta, Magnoliopsida, Dioscoreales, Dioscoreaceae. The record is from RefSeq and is a predicted model, not a curated record.
AUCCUAUGUUGGGGACACUUUCUCAAUAGUUCCUUGUACCGUUCCCAUGCUUCAUACAAGGUUUCAGACUCCAUCUGUUGUAAAGAAGAUUUAUCAUUUAUGAGCUU